Spirochaetes bacterium GWB1_27_13 is the source of this 74-nucleotide non-coding RNA. The record is from Rfam. NCBI's taxonomy places the organism in Bacteria, Pseudomonadati, Spirochaetota.
GCGCCAAUAGCUCAGGUGGAUAGAGCAACAGCCUUCUAAGCUGUGGGUCCCAAGUUCGAGUCCUGGUUGGCGCA